Molecule: long non-coding RNA, 4915 nt
Organism: Cavia porcellus (domestic guinea pig)
Lineage: Eukaryota; Metazoa; Chordata; Mammalia; Rodentia; Caviidae
Exons: 2
Source: RefSeq, a predicted model, not a curated record
UAUGGCUCAGCUCCAUGACACCCCUGUGACUGUGUGGGCAGCUUGCCCUCUCUUAGGGGUCAAGGCAGUCUUGUGUGUGGGGGCCGGGCUCCCUGAUUUUGGAACAGUCCUUCCUCUCGGGGCCACAGUUCAGCUUGAGCAGGGUGGUGAGGAAAGUCAUGCUGGGCACCAGUGCACCAUGGGAAAUUCUUCUGCGGUCCUGCUGACAAUGCUCUCUCAUCCUCUGCCCAUCCAGCGGGGGCACCCGAUUGACUGACAAAGGCAUACAACAGUUGGCAGAUGGACCCCUGGCGCAUGGAAUUCUGUGACGUUCAUGAAACCAAGUGGACAGUAAAACGUGCUUUGCUAGUGACUUACAGUGACAGAGAAGGUCAAUGACAGAGAAGCCGAGAAACGGCUUGAGACUCCAGCCUGCGACAGCCCGUGCCAGCCAAAGUUUUGAAUGGCUUUUGAGGAGAAAUGAGGCUGGGAGGAGCCUGAGGAACCAGAAGCACGUGCUGGGUUUUACUUUGUCUCCCUUUUGAUCUACGAAUUGGUUCUGCAAAAAAGGUUUAAUCAGACCAGCUGUAAAGCAUUCUUCAGACGAAUGAAAACCCACGGAAACGAGCUGUGAGGUUCCUGUUCCCCCAACCCCUCAUCUUUCUGGGGAUUAGCAAUGUAGUCCACGUAAGAUUCUCCCUCUCUUUAGCCUCAGGCCACUGAUUUAUUCAGACUCGGAGAACUAUGUAUCCUCUCGGAACACACACAAGUUGGUUCUGUAACUGUGCCGUGAGCUUAUCAUGUUUUAUGUUUCUUGAGGGAAGGAUCACAUCUAAUUUAAGAUUUAUAACUCCGAUAGCAUGAGCAUUUAUUCAAUCACUUAUCUACUUAUUCAAAGAAACAUUUAUUGGAUUUACAAAGCUUGACUUAAAAUCUACUUGGUAGAAGGCCUUGGGGAAGAUUUCUGAAGAGAUUCAGAAAUGGUGAAAUCAGCUCCCUAAGUUAAAGGGAUUAAAAUUCAGUUAAAGGGAUUAAACACUCAACUUCCCCUCGACUGAGAGAAAAGGAAAUCAGAGCUGCACAAAUCUUUCAUUGAGUAGACCAGAAACCCCACCAGAGCAGUAACCGGAAGUGUUGGCAGGGCCCGGAGAAGCAGGCAGGUCCAGCUGUGGUGGUGGGAAAGCACAGUUCCCCAGAGGGGGCAACGCAGAAACCUCUCUAAAAAUUGUUACUGCAUGUGGACUGUGUGCCGUCAAAUUUGUUCUGGGUAGAGGCUGCACACUUAUGAAAUAAUACAGAGACAAGUGUUUUAUUUUUACAGCACCAUCUAUCAUGGCAAAAGAUUGCUAAAGACAUCCUUUGAUAAGGAGCUGGCUCUCCAUGUAAUGAAAUACGUGGCAGUUGACAAAAAAUGCGGCAAGAAUCUGUCAGAUCUAAUUUUAAGUGAGAAAACGAAGUCCAAAGAAACUUUGCGUAGCAUGCUUUUUUGUUAAAAAAGAAAGGAAAAGAAAAAAGCAGGAAGAUAAGAAUAUACAUUUGUAUUUGCGUGGGUCUGUGUAAAGAACUCCAGGAGUACACGCCAGGAAACGAUGCAAAUGUUUCAUAGAGUCACGGGGACACAGCUUCGGGUGGGACCGGGCAUCUCCCCUCAUGCUGUUUUGAUUUAGGAGCCAUGUGGGUGCAUUACCUCUUUCACAUAGAAAAUAAACAGGUUUUAAAGUGUUUGUAGGGAAGGUACACACAUGAGCCAAUAGUGUGCACAAAACACACUGGCGUCUUAUUUUCUAAUUAAAUUUAAAACUCCCAGAGGAAUGAACUGUAUGAAAGCAUUUUGAACUCAUCUUGCAGACAGUUUGUCCUUCUCCAGUUUCUCCUAUAAACCCUUUCUGGAUUAAUCCUCCCAAAUCCCCCUCUAAACAGACUGCCAGAAGGGCUCCCUUAUGGCAUUCACAUCAAAUCCAAAUGUCUCUAUUUGGCUUUUAGGUUCUGCACAAACCCAGCAAUUUAAUGUCCAUCACGGAGGACCUCAACAGGCAUCGUCUGCUCCCGGAGGGACGGCGUGUCUCUGUGAGAGUUCCCGUCACUGGACAGCCUCUCCUUCCCUUCCUCUCACUGUCUUCUGAGGCCACUCCCUUCCUGGAGGACUGUGCUAUCCGGUCCACCCCUGGUGUAGCCUCUGUGAUGCUUAAGCCACUAUGUCCCCAGUCCCUUAGAGGCCCCAGCUGAGCACCAUGGAGCAAGAGACGGCAGCUGUCCCGGAAAAGGAGCCAUCUGCCCAUGCCAGGGUGGAGACAGUAGACCUGGGGUGGCUUUGAGGUAUUUUGAAGUCUUCCUUAGCGUGGCAGGGAGAGAACAGGACCCCAGGGGGCCUCUCUAACUGCACAGCAGGCGAGGCGCCACUAUGGAAUGACAAGACCAGCUCUUGAGUGAUGCCAGAUGCCUAUAGGGGCUUUUGGGGUCCUAAAGUGAGUGAGGGGCUCUGCAAGAGGUUGACAGUGGAAGCAGGGGUACAGUGGCCAGCGUUGGGGACAUGUAGGUCAUUUCUGUUGGUGGGGCCCCAGCCACACCUGCAAGCAGAGACAGGAUGGCUUGAGAAUUUCAACUGACAUCUGAUUUGCAUGAAUUGGUCUCUCCGGCAGGUGGUCCUGGGUCUCUGAUGUCACCGCUAAUGAACAAGCGCUGUGAGGGACACGAUUGCAGUUCUGGGGUACCGGGUGUUUCCUCCUGGGGGCUGAUUCCUUUCCAUCAACUCGCAGCCACUGUUUGGGGUCUCACUGAGAAGCCCAGCCUUGCUGGCUGGGAGUGGACCGUAACCCACAGCAGAUUUCUGCCCCAGUGCAGAGCUGGUGUGUGCAUUUUCUGUAGAUUCACCAUCCUGGCUUUUAUAUUACAGACAAGGAGACCGAGCUGCAGGGAAGGGAAGUGGUUUGUGCUUUACCACUCCAGAGCGGGAACCCAGGUCCGUUCUCCCUCUGUUCAGGCUUCUCCAAUCCUUUGUGAGGUUCUUUGGUUUACAAAUGAAAAAGAAAGGGCAUAAAAACAAAUGAUACCCAAACUUGGUUGAGUCGAGAGUUUUACCCUUCCGCCCUCUCCCCUUCCUCCUGUAAAGGAAACUGAGUUUUCACAAAAUAGUGAAUGGAUCUGAGCUGUUUGCCUCCUCACCCUCUAGGGGUAGCCUCUCCCUCUUUCCUGGAGGAACUGGAGAGGGCAGUCUGCAGGGGGAGUGCACAGGAAGUGUUUGGUGAACAUGCAGGCACAGCGGUGCCGGUUACCACCCUGGGGGCACCGAGAUCCUUCCCUGCCCACCCCGCGGUUUCCCAGAAGCCCCUGUCCUCGUCUCCAGCCCAUCCCCCUGUCCCGGCUCCCUGCCUGAUUUCUGCAGCUGGGCUGAUGAAGCAGCAGUGAUUUUUUUAAGGUCUCCAACCUGACACGUCCUAUUCUGAGUCACCGAGCCGAGGCGUGCCUUCCUCUGGCGUGCCAAGUUUUCUCCACUAGUGUUUUCAAAGGCAGCCUUCUUCCCCUCAUGACAACCAUUCGAAAUCCACUGAUGGGGAGCAGACUCUGGACCGGAGCAUUUCCAGCAUCUGAAAGAUCUCAAGUUUGACCCUAACGGCAAGGGGCGCAGGCACUGAGACGUUCAGCUGCUCUCCCGGGCCUCUCUCCAGGACUCUGAGGUGCAGCUCCAGGACCGUGGCUGUGUUCUUCAGGCCGUCAGCCCCGAGAGGACAGGAAGUGGGGCAGAAACGGAGCAGCGUCUUGGGAUCAGUGGUGCAUGUGACAGCCUCUGAUGGAAGAUGAGGUGUCUAGAGGGGGCAUUUCUUGGGGACUGGCUGCUCUGUCCAUUCCAAAAAUACUUACUGAAUUCUGACUGAGGGCCGGAAACUGGAGAUUAAAAAAGAGUUAAACCAGCUGUAUUCCACGUUCUUCAACCCUCGAUAGGAGGCUGAACAGGAAUGUGGGCAGGUGGCGGAAGAUAAUCAAGACAAGGGCCAAGUGGCUGCAGGGGGACAGGUGCAGACGCUCCUCGAGGAACUUAACUCCUGCUGUCACUCACACUGUGCUUAGUGUGCGCUGCCCUGCGAGUGCACGGGGCACGUCUAGCCCACUCCUUUGCACACUGUAGGGGCCACACUUUCACGGAACUUUUCUUUACGGGGCCUGAUUUAGAGUAAAGCUUAGUGAGUAAUUAGACCUAAAAUAUGUAGUAAGUGCUGGUGACGUAAGAUGAACAAUGUAGAGAAGGCGACAGUGAUGAACACAUCCAGUCCACUCACCUCCACAUCCGAGAGAGUACAGCGUAGGGUAGGAGCGACGCAGGGCUGCUGGAUUCUAUUUGGAUCAAUAGGAAAAGGUGGUUCAAUGAAGAGCUUGAAGCAGUGUGGAACGGGACCCCGUGCAAGAAAUAGUGGAAGACGGGGCAGCAGAAAAGCUGGGGGUGCAGACAGGCCAAUGCCAAAUCAAGGACGUCGAACGUCAUUGGCUAGGUGUCAACGCCUGGAGUAUUCCCCCUUCAGUUAUCUCUGAUCCACACAAGAUGAGAGAAGCAGAAAGUGUCAGGAAGAGGAGGAACGUCAGAGAAAGCACCUAGGUGCCCCACGGAACCCAAGAGAGUCUGCUUUUUUUUUUUUUUUUUUUUUUUGUCUUUUUCCUUUUUGUCGGUAACGGGGAUCGAACUCAUGACUGCCUGCUUGCAAGGCAGGCGCUUAUGCCGCUGAGCUAAAUCCCCAGCCCCAAAAGCGUUACUUUUAAUAACAAAACUUAUGUCAUGGGGCGGGGGUUGAGGUUUUGGCCACAGCGUCAGGUGAAUAUUAGCCCAUAACCCUUGACCAUUUGACAUUUGGCCAGUAUGCAUUUGGAGAACACCUAUUUCCGUCCAUCCAUCUGUACAUCCAUUCAUCCAUCCACUCAUCUAAAAUAAAAUCUCACCAUAACCCUU